GUCAGUGGCAAUGGCCCCAAAGUAUAGUAUCCCGCCAGAUAAUUGUCUUUUGGAGAAGGCAGUCUGUGUUUAGGCCAACAAGAGGUUCUGUUCACGGUCAAGGUCUCUGAAUGUUAAACCGACUGUGCCUCAGGGAGGGGUGGCAUGGAGGUGGUUUCUCCCCUUCAGGGAUAUACAUCUAAUGGGUGCUGUGCCUUCCCUGGGGUUACCGUGGCCUUGACCUUUGAGCAGAUGACUCUGUCCAGGUUUUCUAAGCAGGGGCUUGGUGGAGUGGGGACAGGAUGGCUCCUGGAUCCUCGCUUUCCCCUCCCUGUGUCACACACUCUUCUUUCUAAGGCUGUAGCAGGGCUUCCAGUGACAGCAGAGAGGUCAGUGCUCACCCGACCCUUGGGGCCCCCGCCAGCUCACGACUGAAGAGGGUCCCUGGGGAAGCCCAGUAAACACCUGAAGUUCUGGGGGAUUUGGCUGAAUUGAAUCAGCGGCAAUUUUUUUCCUUUCCUCAUCACUCUUUAUUGGUAUGUUAAUAUUGCCUUGUGGUCAGAAUUUCUUCUCUGGAGGGAAAUUUAUAUGUAAAACCUAAUUCUUUAGAGGAGAGAUAUAAUAAUAAAAUAACCUUGACAUAUUUUU
Molecule: long non-coding RNA, 627 nt
Filed under: Bos taurus (domestic cattle)
Lineage: Eukaryota; Metazoa; Chordata; Mammalia; Artiodactyla; Bovidae
Description: long non-coding RNA NONBTAT023879
Source: RNAcentral